Molecule: non-coding RNA, 46 nt
Filed under: Schistosoma mansoni
Lineage: Eukaryota; Metazoa; Platyhelminthes; Trematoda; Strigeidida; Schistosomatidae
Source: RNAcentral
ACACUUCUGAGGAGCCGCACAAUAGGACGAAACGGCCGUCCAGUGU